This 73-nucleotide transfer RNA is filed under the name Tidjanibacter sp. RNAcentral describes it as "tRNA-His". It matches the Rfam family "tRNA". From Rfam's summary of the family: Transfer RNA (tRNA) molecules are approximately 80 nucleotides in length. Their secondary structure includes four short double-helical elements and three loops (D, anti-codon, and T loops). Lineage: Bacteria; Pseudomonadati; Bacteroidota; Bacteroidia; Bacteroidales; Rikenellaceae. The record is from RNAcentral.
GUGACUGUAGCUCAGUUGGCAGAGCGUUGGAUUGUGGUUCCAAAUGUCGUGGGUUCGAGCCCCAUCAGUCACC